This 465-nucleotide ribosomal RNA is filed under the name uncultured bacterium. RNAcentral describes it as "partial 16S ribosomal RNA". It matches the Rfam family "Bacterial small subunit ribosomal RNA", at positions 338 to 795 of the family's 1533-position model. The record is from RNAcentral.
CCUACGGGUGGCAGCAGUAGGGAAUCUUCCACAAUGGACGAAAGUCUGAUGGAGCAACGCCGCGUGAGUGAAGAAGGGUUUCGGCUCGUAAAGCUCUGUUGGUAGUGAAGAAAGAUAGAGGUAGUAACUGGCCUUUAUUUGACGGUAAUUACUUAGAAAGUCACGGCUAACUACGUGCCAGCAGCCGCGGUAAUACGUAGGUGGCAAGCGUUGUCCGGAUUUAUUGGGCGUAAAGCGAGUGCAGGCGGUUCAAUAAGUCUGAUGUGAAAGCCUUCGGCUCAACCGGAGAAUUGCAUCAGAAACUGUUGAACUUGAGUGCAGAAGAGGAGAGUGGAACUCCAUGUGUAGCGGUGAAAUGCGUAGAUAUUAGGAGGAACACCAGUGGCGAAGGCGGCCUGCUGGGCUUUUACUGACGCUGAGGCUCGAAAGUGUGGGGAGCAAACAGGAUUAGAUACCCCUGUAGUC